AACUUGACGCUACCGGCAGGCUUAACACAUGCAAGUCGAGGGGCAGCACUUCUUCGGAUGGUGGCGACCGGCGCACGGGUGCGUAACGCGUAUAGAACUUACCUUUUACAGAGGGAUAGCCUUUAGAAAUGAAGAUUAAUACCUCAUAGCAUUGAGAUUUGGCAUCAAAUUUUAAUUAAAGAUUUAUCGGUAAAAGAUGGCUAUGCGUCAUAUUAGCUAGAUGGUGAGGUAACGGCUCACCAUGGCAACGAUAGGUAGGGGUCCUGAGAGGGAGAUCCCCCACACUGGUACUGAGACACGGACCAGACUCCUACGGGAGGCAGCAGUGAGGAAUAUUGGGCAAUGGAGGCAACUCUGACCCAGCCAUGCCGCGUGCAGGAAUAAGGUCCUAUGGAUUGUAAACUGCUUUUAUA
Molecule: ribosomal RNA, 413 nt
Filed under: uncultured Bacteroidota bacterium
Lineage: Bacteria; Pseudomonadati; Bacteroidota
Description: bacterial SSU rRNA
Rfam family: Bacterial small subunit ribosomal RNA
Source: RNAcentral